CACACAUCAUUUGCAGCAGCCUUCCUAAGUGCCAAGACAGCCAGACUCUUUUGCACUUUCUGAAACAAUUCUCUAAACAUUGCUAAAAAAUUUGUUUUGCUUAAUGUAUAAGUCUCUAAGUGAAGAUAGACGUAGAAACUUCUUUUGAGUACACGAAAAUGGCAAAGUGCAGGCAUGGUUAUUUAUACUCGGCUGUGAAGUGAAAGAAAGAUGGUAAUUUCCAGGAGUAUUCCAUGGUGGAGCCAGUUGCUUCUACUUUUACCAACACAUCAUUCAAUGAAUUCAUAUCAUUUCACAUGGAUCUGGGAAUCAUCUAACACGGUUCGCCCAGAAACUUAUCCAUAUCUAAAGGUCUAUUUACAUAUAUCCAGACAAAUUUUGCCAAUUAUCUUCAUCAUAUAUAUCCAGAUGGCAAAAGAUUUUUUGACAUUUGUUCACCAGAUCAUGUGAAAUGCGGGGUGUUUGAUGUAACAGCUUUC
This 479-nucleotide long non-coding RNA is filed under the name Carica papaya (papaya). Its description in RNAcentral is "long non-coding RNA (CPAP_LNC008590)". The record is from RNAcentral. Lineage: Eukaryota; Viridiplantae; Streptophyta; Magnoliopsida; Brassicales; Caricaceae.